GGGGUCGUAGUUCAGAUGGUUAGAACGCCGGCCUGUCAAGCCGGAGGUCGCGAGUUCAAAUCUCGUCGACCCCGCCA
This 77-nucleotide transfer RNA is filed under the name Candidatus Glassiibacteriota bacterium. RNAcentral's name for it is "Candidatus Glassbacteria bacterium tRNA-Asp". It matches the Rfam family "tRNA". From Rfam's summary of the family: Transfer RNA (tRNA) molecules are approximately 80 nucleotides in length. Their secondary structure includes four short double-helical elements and three loops (D, anti-codon, and T loops). Further hydrogen bonds mediate the characteristic L-shaped molecular structure. tRNAs have two regions of fundamental functional importance: the anti-codon, which is responsible for specific mRNA codon recognition, and the 3' end, to which the tRNAs corresponding amino acid is attached (by aminoacyl-tRNA synthetases). tRNAs cope with the degeneracy of the genetic code in two manners: having more than one tRNA (with a specific anti-codon) for a particular amino acid; and 'wobble' base-pairing, i.e. permitting non-standard base-pairing at the 3rd anti-codon position. Lineage: Bacteria; Candidatus Glassiibacteriota. The record is from RNAcentral. RNAcentral also lists the same sequence under 1 other name.